CAGAUUUCAUUUCACAAGGAUAUCAUGAUCUCCAGAGUCCAGCAUCUGUUUCCUUAAUAGAUUCUUUUCCCCUUAGCACAGCUCAACAAAGGUAGAGUGGAGCAGCAAGUUCAGACACCCAGUGGAUGUGUUCAAGGCAGUCAGUUGAAGCUGCUUCCUUCAGCAGAGGCCUCUUCCACUCCUCUCCAGCCCACUACACACCACUCCACUCACUAUAGGAACAACAGUACCUUAGAUACCGAAGCAGCUUUCUUUUGGCUGUAUGAAAAUACAAGAUUAAGGUGCGGUCCUGUUCUGGCGAUAGAGCACAGUGUAUUUUGCAGCUGAUCUCUGCAGCAAGCUAAUAGGCCUGGAAACAGCUAUUCUUUC
RNAcentral lists this long non-coding RNA (369 nucleotides) under Corvus moneduloides (New Caledonian crow). RNAcentral's name for it is "lncRNA (ENSCMUG00000017769.1)". The record is from RNAcentral. Lineage: Eukaryota; Metazoa; Chordata; Aves; Passeriformes; Corvidae.